This 25-nucleotide non-coding RNA is filed under the name Mus musculus (house mouse). Lineage: Eukaryota; Metazoa; Chordata; Mammalia; Rodentia; Muridae. The record is from RNAcentral.
UGUUAAGUCCCUGCCCUUUGUACAC